GGCUAGUCUCAGCACUGUAGUGUUUACAACUAAUUGAUUGCAACCAAUUAUAAAUUUCUUUGUUCCUUCUCCACUCCCACUGCUUCACUUGACUAGCCUUAA
This is an unclassified non-coding RNA of Microcebus murinus (gray mouse lemur), 102 nucleotides long. It matches the Rfam family "Y RNA". Rfam says of the family: Y RNAs are components of the Ro ribonucleoprotein particle (Ro RNP), in association with Ro60 and La proteins. NCBI's taxonomy places the organism in Eukaryota, Metazoa, Chordata, Mammalia, Primates, Cheirogaleidae. The record is from Ensembl.